Molecule: unclassified non-coding RNA, 258 nt
Filed under: Hevea brasiliensis (rubber tree)
Lineage: Eukaryota; Viridiplantae; Streptophyta; Magnoliopsida; Malpighiales; Euphorbiaceae
Source: RNAcentral
AAAGAAAAAGGAAAAGUUACACAUGACAGAUAAUGCGAGAGGGAGGAUUUAGAGGGGAAGGAAUCAACCUUAGUUGAUUGUGAUUGUGUUUGCCAUCUUAAUACACCAAGAAAACAAUAGCAAAAGCAAUAGUAGCUUUAGCACUUAAUUGCUUCUUUUAAUCAACUUCAAGGAUCAAGGUUUUUAGAAGGAAAAACUCAAAAUUUAAAGUUUCCAAAACCGUAGAAAAUUUUCAGAAAUCUUCUGGACGUUCUGAUU